RNAcentral lists this ribosomal RNA (640 nucleotides) under uncultured earthworm intestine bacterium. RNAcentral's name for it is "bacterial SSU rRNA". It matches the Rfam family "Bacterial small subunit ribosomal RNA", at positions 67 to 704 of the family's 1533-position model. The record is from RNAcentral.
CGGCAGCGCGGGGCAACCUGGCGGCGAGCGGCGAACGGGUGAGUAAUGCAUCGGAACAUGUCCAUUCGUGGGGGAUAGCCCGGCGAAAGCCGGAUUAAUACCGCAUACGCCCGAGAGGGGAAAGUGGGGGACCGCAAGGCCUCACGCGAUUGGGUUGGCCGAUGUCCGAUUAGCUAGUUGGUGGGGUAAAGGCCUACCAAGGCGAUGAUCGGUAGCUGGUCUGAGAGGAUGAUCGGCCACACUGGGACUGAGACACGGCCCAGACUCCUACGGGAGGCAGCAGUGGGGAAUUUUGGACAAUGGGGGCAACCCUGAUCCAGCCAUUCCGCGUGAGUGAAGAAGGCCUUCGGGUUGUAAAGCUCUUUUGUCCGGAACGAAACGGGUGCGGCUAAUACUCGCGCCUACUGACGGUACCGGAAGAAUAAGCACCGGCUAACUACGUGCCAGCAGCCGCGGUAAUACGUAGGGUGCGAGCGUUAAUCGGAAUUACUGGGCGUAAAGCGUGCGCAGGCGGUUUUGUAAGCCAGAUGUGAAAUCCCCGGGCUUAACCUGGGAAUGGCAUUUGGGACUGCAAGGCUGGAGUGCGGCAGAGGAGACUGGAAUUCCUGGUGUAGCAGUGAAAUGCGUAGAUAUCAGGAGG